Molecule: long non-coding RNA, 327 nt
Filed under: Athene cunicularia (burrowing owl)
Lineage: Eukaryota; Metazoa; Chordata; Aves; Strigiformes; Strigidae
Description: lncRNA (ENSACUG00000008609.1)
Source: RNAcentral
UCCAGCAGUGGAAACAUCUCAAAUUGCCUGCUACUGUGCAGAAGGGGACUGAAGUAGUUGGAAGUUAACCUUCCUCCCUGACCCUCGCUGUUGCUUCUCAUCUGUUUUCUAGAAUAAAAUUGUUGUCAUUGGGGAACAGUCAUGUCCUCUCAUGAGAAGGGUUGAAUACUAACAGAACAUAACUCUAAAGAGAGUCACCUUGAAUACUUUCCACUACGUUGUUAUAAACUGAUGCAAUCAGACUGCUUGACAGCUAAGCCAUCAAUGUCUUCUGAGCCUUGAAGAGUUUCUUGUGGUGCUGCCCACACAAGAGUUUCUGCAGGUGGA